This 325-nucleotide ribosomal RNA is filed under the name uncultured fungus. RNAcentral's name for it is "SSU rRNA". It matches the Rfam family "Eukaryotic small subunit ribosomal RNA", at positions 39 to 370 of the family's 1831-position model. Lineage: Eukaryota; Fungi. The record is from RNAcentral.
AAAGAUUAAGCCAUGCAUGUCUAAGUAUAAGCAAUCAUACUGUGAAACUGCGAAUGGCUCAUUAAAUCAGUUAUCGUUUAUUUGAUAGUACCUUUACCUGGAUAACCGUGGUAAUUCUAGAGCUAAUACAUGCUAAAAAUCCCGACUUCGGAAGGGAUGUAUUUAUUAGAUAAAAAACCAAUGCCCUUCGGGGCUCCUUGGUGAUUCAUAAUAACUUAACGAAUCGCAUGGCCUUGCGCCGGCGAUGGUUCAUUCAAAUUUCUGCCCUAUCAACUUUCGAUGGUAGGAUAGUGGCCUACCAUGGUCUCAACGGGUAACGGGGAAU